CCCUUAGACGUUCUGGGCCGCACGCGCGCUACACUGACCGGUGCAACAAGCAUCCGUCCUUGGCCGAUAGGUCUGGGUAAUCUUUGAACGCUGUUCGUGAUUGGGAUAGACCUUUGCAAUUAUGGGUCUUCAACGAGGAAUUCCUAGUAAACGCAAGUCAUCAGCUUGCAUUGAUUACGUCCCUGCCCUUUGUACACACCGCCCGUCGCACCUACCGAUUGAAUGGUCCGGUGAAAUCUCGGGACGGCGGCUUGGUCGCUUGCGUCCGACUGCUGAAACUUGAUUAAACCAUAUCAUUUAGAGGAAGGUGAAGUCGUAACA
This 321-nucleotide ribosomal RNA is filed under the name uncultured eukaryote. Its description in RNAcentral is "partial 18S ribosomal RNA". It matches the Rfam family "Eukaryotic small subunit ribosomal RNA", at positions 1470 to 1796 of the family's 1831-position model. The record is from RNAcentral.